CCACGGCAUAAUUGGGGUUAAGCCACUUAGUCAUGAAGGUAAGUGAAUGCGCAACAAGGAAUCUCUAAUCCUCGAUAAGAGAGGAAGAAUACUCUAAGAUAUGAUUUGGGAAUCUUCGGCGAAAGUAUCGAGCGUAAUAAAGGAAAGCGUUCCUAUACGACUCAAUUGAAUCAUAUAAGAAGGAAUAAUCCCAUUAGGGGUUUGACAUUAUAUAUCCAUACCCUAGUAAUGUGAUUGAGAGUAUUGUUUUAGAGAAGGAUCGAAUUACAUUGUAAUUCCAACUGAAUAGGUUCUCCGAACAACUUCUACAUUAGCUUGGGUAGCUAUGACAUAUGGUUAGAUGUUACUCAUAGCUUGUGAGUUCUUCUAGAUGAUUAAAUGUAGUCAUCAAAGAAGAAAGUGAAUCAAAAGGAAGUUUUAAUUCACUAAGUGAUUGAAUUAAAUAUAAUCAAUUGGAUUGAUGCCAAUCACUUCACUGCCUUGCUAAUUAGAACCUAAAAUGAUUGUACACCGACACACUAUUGUAGUGAGUAGUUAAUGGAUGAAGGAAUAAUUAAUUGGAUUAAUUAAGUGUUGUGAUUAAUUUAGAAAGUCUAAAAGAAAUCAUAAAAGCGAUAAAGAUCGUUUUGGGCUUAAAGAAACGUUCGGGUUUUAUUGGGCCCAUUGGGCCUAAACCCAUUGGGCUUUUAUUCAAGCAU
Molecule: long non-coding RNA, 698 nt
Filed under: Malus domestica (apple)
Lineage: Eukaryota; Viridiplantae; Streptophyta; Magnoliopsida; Rosales; Rosaceae
Description: long non-coding RNA (MDOM_LNC020255)
Source: RNAcentral